GAUGAACGCUGGCGGCGUGCCUAAUACAUGCAAGUCGAGCGAACGGACGAGAAGCUUGCUUCUCUGAUGUUAGCGGCGGACGGGUGAGUAACACGUGGAUAACCUACCUAUAAGACUGGGAUAACUUCGGGAAACCGGAGCUAAUACCGGAUAAUAUUUUGAACCGCAUGGUUCAAAAGUGAAAGACGGUCUUGCUGUCACUUAUAGAUGGAUCCGCGCUACAUUAGCUAGUUGGUAAGGUAACGGCUUACCAAGGCAACGAUGCAUAGCCGACCUGAGAGGGUGAUCGGCCACACUGGAACUGAGACACGGUCCAGACUCCUACGGGAGGCAGCAGUAGGGAAUCUUCCGCAAUGGGCGAAAGCCUGACGGAGCAACGCCGCGUGAGUGAUGAAGGUCUUCGGAUCGUAAAACUCUGUUAUUAGGGAAGAACAUAUGUGUAAGUAACUGUGCACAUCUUGACGGUACCUAAUCAGAAAGCCACGGCUAACUACGU
Molecule: ribosomal RNA, 496 nt
Filed under: uncultured bacterium
Lineage: Bacteria
Description: partial 16S ribosomal RNA
Rfam family: Bacterial small subunit ribosomal RNA
Source: RNAcentral